GACGAACCGUCCUAACGUUGUUCGGAAUCACUGGGCUUAAAGGGCGCGUAGGCGGCCCUGUAAGUCGGGGGUGAAAGCCCACGGCCCAACCGUGGAAGUGCCUCCGAUACUGCGGGGCUCGAGGGAGGUAGGGGCAGCGGGAACUUCCGGUGGAGCGGUGAAAUGCGUUGAUAUCGGAAGGAACGCCGGCGGCGAAAGCGCGCUGCUGGACCUCUGCUGACGCUGAGGCGCGAAAGCCAGGGGAGCAAACGGG
This 253-nucleotide ribosomal RNA is filed under the name uncultured bacterium. RNAcentral describes it as "partial 16S ribosomal RNA". It matches the Rfam family "Bacterial small subunit ribosomal RNA", at positions 524 to 776 of the family's 1533-position model. The record is from RNAcentral.